This 323-nucleotide long non-coding RNA is filed under the name Brassica napus (rape). RNAcentral's name for it is "long non-coding RNA (BNAP_LNC009709)". Lineage: Eukaryota; Viridiplantae; Streptophyta; Magnoliopsida; Brassicales; Brassicaceae. The record is from RNAcentral.
AGACAUUAGGGUUUAGAGUUAAGGAGUGGGGUUUAGGAUUUAGGAUUUAAGGUUUAGGAUUUAGGGUUUAGAGUUUAGGGGUGGGGUGGGGUUUAGGGUUUAGGGUUUAGGGUUUAGAGUUAAGGGGUGGAGUUUAGGAUUUAGGGUUUAGGGUUUAGGAUUUAGGGUUUAGGGCUUAGAGUUUAGGGUUUAUGGUUUAGAGUUUAGGUUUUAGGGUUUAUAGUUAGGGAGUGGGGUUUUGGGAUAAGAUUUCAAAUUUUGAAAAAUAAAAAAAAUUAAUUUUUUCAAAAGAUAAAAUACUAUUUUGGUCAUUUUAGUUUUUG